This 198-nucleotide small nuclear RNA is filed under the name Thalictrum thalictroides. RNAcentral's name for it is "U2 spliceosomal RNA". It matches the Rfam family "U2 spliceosomal RNA". From Rfam's summary of the family: U2 is a small nuclear RNA (snRNA) component of the spliceosome (involved in pre-mRNA splicing). Complementary binding between U2 snRNA (in an area lying towards the 5' end but 3' to hairpin I) and the branchpoint sequence (BPS) of the intron results the bulging out of an unpaired adenosine, on the BPS, which initiates a nucleophilic attack at the intronic 5' splice site, thus starting the first of two transesterification reactions that mediate splicing. The record is from Rfam by way of RNAcentral. Lineage: Eukaryota; Viridiplantae; Streptophyta; Magnoliopsida; Ranunculales; Ranunculaceae.
AUACCUUUCUCGGCCUUUUGGCUAAGAUCAAGUGUAGUAUCUGUUCUUAUCAGUUUAAUAUCUGAUACGUGGGGCACUGCCUCACAUGAUAUUAAAUUAAUUUUUGUUCUUAGGGGGUGUCUAUCACAACAGCUUGCUGUUGGGACUCUCAAGCGUCGCCCAUGUGUUGCACUACUGCAAGGGCCUGGCGCACCCUAC